GAAGCAUGUGAGCCAUGUGCCAAGAAAAGCCGCUAUAGAUCAUAUCGUACCCGUACCGUAAACCGACACAGGUAGAUGAGGAGAGAAUCCUAAGGCCGACGGGAGAAGCAUUGUCAAGGAACUCGGCAAAAUGACCCCGUAACUUCGGGAGAAGGGGUGCCCACGCGAGUGGGCCGCAGAGAAUAGGCUCAAGCAACUGUUUAGCAAAAACACAGGUCUAUGCGAAACCGAAAGGUGAGGUAUAUGGGCUGACGCCUGCCCGGUGCUGGAAGGUCAGAGGAGGAGUCAGGCAACGAAGCUCCGAAUUUAAGCCCCAGUAAACGGCGGCCGUAACUAUAACGGUCCUAAGGUAGCGAAAUUCCUUGUCGGGUAAGUUCCGACCCGCACGAAAGGCGUAAUGAUUUGAGCACUGUCUCGACAAUGCACCCGGUGAAAUUGAAGUACCAGUGAAGAUGCUGGUUACCUGCGCCAGGACGGAAAGACCCCAUGGAGCUUUACUCCAGUUUGAUACUGGGAUUCGAUACUGAAUGUACAGGAUAGGUGGGAGGCUGAGAAGCGUGGACGCCAGUCUGCGGUGAGCCGCUGUUGGGAUACCACCCUUUGAGUAUUGGAUUUCUAACCUGCGCCCGUGACCCGGGCGGGGGACAAUGUCUGACGGGGAGUUUGACUGGGGCGGUCGCCUCCGAAAGGGUAUCGGAGGCGCUCAAAGGUUCCCUCAGAAUGGUUGGAAACCAUUCGCAGAGUGCAAAGGCAGAAGGGAGCUUGACUGUGACACCGACGGGUGGAGCAGGUACGAAAGUAGGACUUAGUGAUCCGGUGGUAUGAAAGUGGGAUUGCCAUCGCUCAACGGAUAAAAGCUACCCUGGGAUAACAGGCUUAUCACUCCCAAGAGUUCACAUCGACGGAGUGGUUUGGCACCUCGAUGUCGGCUCAUCGCAUCCUGGGGCUGUAGCAGGUCCCAAGGGUUGGGCUGUUCGCCCAUUAAAGCGGUACGCGAGCUGGGUUCAGAACGUCGUGAGACAGUUCGGUCCCUAUCCGGCGCAGGCGUAGGAUAUUUGAGAGGAGCUGUCCUUAGUACGAGAGGACCGGGAUGGACAGACCGCUGGUGUAUCUGUUGGUGACCAACACCAUGGCAGAGUAGCCAAGUCUGGCAGGGAUAAACGCUGAAGGCAUCUAAGCGUGAAGCCCCCCUCAAGAUGAGAUAUCCCAAUAAGUAAGACCCCUUAGAGAGUAUGAGGUAGAUAGGCUUAAGGUGUAAGCAUAGUAAUAUGUUCAGCUGAUAAGUACUAAUAGGUCGAGGGCUUAUUCA
This 1309-nucleotide ribosomal RNA is filed under the name metagenome. RNAcentral's name for it is "bacterial LSU rRNA". It matches the Rfam family "Bacterial large subunit ribosomal RNA", at positions 1588 to 2925 of the family's 2925-position model. The record is from RNAcentral.